Molecule: ribosomal RNA, 236 nt
Filed under: uncultured Candidatus Saccharibacteria bacterium
Lineage: Bacteria; Candidatus Saccharimonadota
Description: partial 16S ribosomal RNA
Rfam family: Bacterial small subunit ribosomal RNA
Source: RNAcentral
UAAGUAAUGCGUGAAAUGACGGGGCUCAACCCCGUGUCCAUGCGUUAAACUGCUCAGCUAGAGAAUGAGAGAGGUGGCUGGAAUUUCUAGUGUAGGAGUGAAAUCCGUAGAUAUUAGAAGGAACACCGAUGGCGUAGGCAGGCCACUGGCUCAUUUCUGACGCUCAGGCACGAAAGCGUGGGGAGCGACCGGGAUUAGAUACCCCGUUAGUCCACGCCGUAAAACUAUGGAUGCUA